UACAGAGGGUGCGAGCGUUGUCCGGAAUCACUGGGCGUAAAGGGCGCGUAGGCGGCUUUUUAAGUCAGGGGUGAAAUCCUGGAGCUCAACUCCAGAACUGCCUUUGAUACUGAGAGGCUUGAGUCCGGGAGAGGUGAGUGGAACUGCGAGUGUAGAGGUGAAAUUCGUAGAUAUUCGCAAGAACACCAGUGGCGAAGGCGGCUCACUGGCCCGGUACUGACGCUGAGGUGCGAAAGCGUGGGGAGCAAACAGG
Molecule: ribosomal RNA, 253 nt
Filed under: uncultured bacterium
Lineage: Bacteria
Description: partial 16S ribosomal RNA
Rfam family: Bacterial small subunit ribosomal RNA
Source: RNAcentral